This is a long non-coding RNA of Siniperca chuatsi (mandarin fish), 1329 nucleotides long. RefSeq lists it as uncharacterized. The transcript is spliced from 3 exons. The record is from RefSeq and is a predicted model, not a curated record. Lineage: Eukaryota; Metazoa; Chordata; Actinopteri; Centrarchiformes; Sinipercidae.
CAUGAUGAUUUUUUCAGCUACAGUGAGCUGCAGCUACGUGGGCGACAGCAGCAGCAUUCGACAGGAAACAAUAAUUUGAUUCUGGAAACUUGAGACUUGAGGACAAGCUGCACACGGAGAUGAAAUGGAUAUCUCCAAUGAAGCAGCUAUUAUAGAAAUAAUAAAGAAGAGUGCCAAAAUCAAUAGAUUCAUGUCCAAGUGUGUGAAAUCAUUCAGCGUAGUUUAAAAUGUAUUUAUAGCCGUUCGGACACUUUCUCAAGUGAACAGUGAAGACUUUAUUUCAGGUAAAAGGUGAGGAAUCCCCCAUUGCAUCAGGAGGCUGUAUGGACAUCAUUUUUUUUUUUUUUAUGCUUUUCGCUGGUGGGUUUAAAAAAGACAUGUACUUCUAAGAGUUAUAAAAGAAACCAGGAAUAUAAUCCAGUGAAAGCUGAAGCAAGCUAUUUUUGUGCACUGAGGUAGAAGGUAGGACAGAAGCAGGACAAGAAGGAAUUAAAUAUGAUCAUUUAUGACGUCCCUGUCCAAUCCCUCAUACAAUAUUUAAGUCAAGAGGUUUUGAAAGUAAAAGUAUUUUGGUGUAAAAGCUGCUGUCAUUUAAAAGAACAUACAUUGCUUUAAAAGAAAAUGAAUAACUCAAUAUAGUUGUUUUUUUUUUUCACUUUGAACUGAUGGUAAUGAGGGAAGAUGUCGCCCAGUGCAACAGUGUGGCUCAUUGAUGUGUUUGUAAUAGUUUCUGGACAACAAUGGAGCGCUAUGGCUCAGAGGAAUUAGCCAUAUCAGGCUUUGGAAACUCGACCGUACUUGUUAGUAGGAUCAGCUGUUGGUUUGGGUGUUUUAAUGGAAUCUGUUAACAAUAAGAAGAACACCACCAGCCUUAUCCAUUCAAAGAUAAACAUAUUGUGCACCAGCCUACUUUUAGAGGCCUGCUGAAAUUCUUGAAGCCUUUUAUGUGUAAUUAAGAAUUCUAUUCUAUUCUGUUGACUAUAGAAUUGAUGUGUGUCAUAGAGCCUCACAUACUAGAACUUUCACGAUAUCACAGCAGCUCCAGACUCCUGAGAGUUUUCAUUUGAGAUUCAGAAACACUUGAAACAAGUUGCUCAACAGUUGACUCAAGUUUUAGCUAUGAAAAGAUCUGCAAACAUGUUUAUACCGCCUUGCUUUCGACGAAAGAAAAAUCAACACACGACUGAAAAAGUUGUGGAGAAUAGGAGCAGACCGCGCUCCACCUCUAGUGGAAGAGUCGCCGUCUCAGACGCUCCUGCCGCCAAGACCUCUACGGAAAACCGUAAAGGGAGGACUCUUUGGUGGUACAGACUGUUCGGUUCAACAGUG